UGAGCAAUCUGCCCCUGACUCUGGGAUAAGCGCUGGAAACGGCGUCUAAUACUGGAUACGAACCGUGGAGGCAUCUUCAACGGUUGGAAAGAUUUUUUGGUCAGGGAUGAGCUCGCGGCCUAUCAGCUUGUUGGUGAGGUAAUGGCUCACCAAGGCGUCGACGGGUAGCCGGCCUGAGAGGGUGACCGGCCACACUGGGACUGAGACACGGCCCAGACUCCUACGGGAGGCAGCAGUGGGGAAUAUUGCACAAUGGGCGCAAGCCUGAUGCAGCAACGCCGCGUGAGGGAUGACGGCCUUCGGGUUGUAAACCUCUUUUAGCAGGGAAGAAGCGAAAGUGACGGUACCUGCAGAAAAAGCGCCGGCUAACUACGUGCCAGCAGCCGCGGUAAUACGUAGGGCGCAAGCGUUAUCCGGAAUUAUUGGGCGUAAAGAGCUCGUAGGCGGUUUGUCGCGUCUGCUGUGAAAUCCCGAGGCUCAACUUCGGGUCUGCAGUGGGUACGGGCAGACUAGAGUGCGGUAGGGGAGAUUGGAAUUCCUGGUGUAGCGGUGGAAUGCGCAGAUAUCAGGAGGAACACCGAUGGCGAA
RNAcentral lists this ribosomal RNA (588 nucleotides) under Microbacterium sp. Its description in RNAcentral is "bacterial SSU rRNA". It matches the Rfam family "Bacterial small subunit ribosomal RNA", at positions 118 to 719 of the family's 1533-position model. The record is from RNAcentral. Lineage: Bacteria; Bacillati; Actinomycetota; Actinomycetes; Micrococcales; Microbacteriaceae.